GCUUUCGUGGUGUAAUUGGCAGCACACUUGACUCGUAAUCCGAAGGUUCGGAGCACGAAUCCCGGCGAAGGCA
This 73-nucleotide transfer RNA is filed under the name Stegodyphus mimosarum. It matches the Rfam family "tRNA". Rfam says of the family: Transfer RNA (tRNA) molecules are approximately 80 nucleotides in length. Their secondary structure includes four short double-helical elements and three loops (D, anti-codon, and T loops). Lineage: Eukaryota; Metazoa; Arthropoda; Arachnida; Araneae; Eresidae. The record is from Rfam by way of RNAcentral.